This 319-nucleotide unclassified non-coding RNA is filed under the name plant metagenome. RNAcentral's name for it is "partial contains small subunit ribosomal RNA, internal transcribed spacer 1, and 5.8S ribosomal RNA". The record is from RNAcentral.
UUUCCGUAGGUGAACCUGCGGAGGGAUCAUUAAACGUAUACACGUAUAACACAUGCAAACUUGUUUUGAAUAAUUACUUAUGUAAGUUGAUGGUUCACUGGAAGAUUAGUGUGAGUACAUGGGUGGGAUUUUUUUCUCAGAGCUCUGCUAAUCGAAUGCCAUGAUGUUGCGUAAGUUUUUCUUAAAUCACAUGAUUGUCUUUAUUACUUAUUACCCUUUGUAUAUUUUGAUGAACAUUGUGAUUCAUUAGUUAAAUUUUGAAUGAAGUAAUAUAAAUGAAAAUUGAGCACAACUCUCAACAACGGAUAUCUUGGUUCUC